UUUUGACCUCAGUUCAGACAAGGCUACCCGCCGAAUUUAAGCAUAUUACUAAGCGGAGGAAAAGAAAAUAACAAUGAUUCCCCUAGUAACGGCGAGCGAACCGGGAAGAGCCCAACUUGGAAAUCUGGAGGCUUGUCCUUCCGAAUUGUAGUCUAGAGUAGUGCCAUCUGCGGCUGGCCGGUCCCAAGUUCCCUGGAAAGGGACGUCAGAGAGGGUGAGAGCCCCGUCGAGGCCGGUUUAGUCGCUCCACGAUGCGCUUACAAGGAGUCGGGUUGUUUGGGAAUGCAGCCCUAAGCGGGAGGUAAAUUCCUUCUAAGGCUAAAUAUUGGCGAGAGACCGAUAGCGAACAAGUACCGCGAGGGAAAGAUGAAAAGACCUUUGAAAAGAGAGUUAAAAAGUACCUGAAAUUGUUGAGGGGGAAGCGAUUAAAACCAGCGGGUGCUCCCUAGGUAGGCUUUGCCACACGCUAGGGGCUGGUCAACGUGGGUUAGUCGGGGGGGACAUUACUCCUGACUGACCGAGGAUUCGACGUUGGCGGAAUGGUUUUAAUCGGCCCGUCUAGAAACACGGACCAAGGAGUCUAA
Molecule: ribosomal RNA, 584 nt
Filed under: uncultured Micromonas
Lineage: Eukaryota; Viridiplantae; Chlorophyta; Mamiellophyceae; Mamiellales
Description: eukaryotic LSU rRNA
Rfam family: Eukaryotic large subunit ribosomal RNA
Source: RNAcentral